RNAcentral lists this ribosomal RNA (429 nucleotides) under Chloroflexota bacterium. RNAcentral describes it as "Chloroflexi bacterium partial 16S ribosomal RNA". It matches the Rfam family "Bacterial small subunit ribosomal RNA", at positions 355 to 776 of the family's 1533-position model. The record is from RNAcentral. Lineage: Bacteria; Bacillati; Chloroflexota.
UGGGGAAUAUUGCACAAUGGGCGCAAGCCUGAUGCAGCCAUGCCGCGUGUAUGAAGAAGGCCUUCGGGUUGUAAAGUACUUUCAGUCGGGAGGAAGGUGGUAAGGUUAAUAACCUUGGCAAUUGACGUUACCGACAGAAGAAGCACCGGCUAACUCCGUGCCAGCAGCCGCGAUAAUACGGAGGGUGCAAGCGUUAAUCGGAAUUACUGGGCGUAAAGCGCACGCAGGCGGUUGAUUGAGUCAGAUGUGAAAUCCCCGGGCUUAACCCGGGAAUUGCAUCUGAUACUGGUCAGCUAGAGUCUUGUAGAGGGGGGUAGAAUUCCAUGUGUAGCGGUGAAAUGCGUAGAGAUGUGGAGGAAUACCGGUGGCGAAGGCGGCCCCCUGGACAAAGACUGACGCUCAGGUGCGAAAGCGUGGGGAGCAAACAGG